UACGGGGGGGGCAAGCGUUGUUCGGAAUUACUGGGCGUAAAGGGCGCGUAGGCGGUUUGCUAAGUUGGACGUGAAAACUCUGGGCUUAACCCAGAGCCUGCAUCCAAAACUGGCAAGCUAGAGUAUUGGAGGGGGAAGCGGAAUUCCUGGUGUAGCAGUGAAAUGCGCAGAUAUCAGGAGGAACACCGGUGGCGAAGGCGGGGCUCUGGGCCGAUACUGACGCUGAGGAGCGAAAGCGUGGGGAGCGAACAGG
This 253-nucleotide ribosomal RNA is filed under the name uncultured bacterium. Its description in RNAcentral is "partial 16S ribosomal RNA". It matches the Rfam family "Bacterial small subunit ribosomal RNA", at positions 524 to 776 of the family's 1533-position model. The record is from RNAcentral.